UCGAGCGAGAACCGUAGCAAUACGGGGACAGCGGCGAAAGGGACAGUAAUGUGUAGGUACCUACCCCCGGGUUCGGGAUAGCUGCGGGAAACUGCAGGUAAUACCGAAUAAUGUCUCCGGACCAAAGGUGUGAUUCCACCUGGGGAGGGGCCUGCAUCCUAUUAGCUUGUUGGUGGGGUAACGGCCUACCAAGGCAACGAUGGGUAGCGGGUGUGAGAGCAUGACCCGCGUCAUUGGGACUGAGACACUGCCCAGACACCUACGGGUGGCUGCAGUCGAGAAUCUUCGGCAAUGGGCGAAAGCCUGACCGAGCGACGCCGCGUGCGGGAUGAAGGCCCUCGGGUUGUAAACCGCUGUCGUAGAGGAGGAAAUGCAGGGGGGUUCUCCCCCUUGCUUGACCUAUUCUAGGAGGAAGUACGGGCUAAGUUCGUGCCAGCAGCCGCGGUAAGACGGACCGUACAAACGUUACUCGGAAUUACUGGGCUUAAAGGGUGCGUAGGCUGCGCGGAAAGUUGGGUGUGAAAGCCCUCGGCUCAACCGAGGAAUUGCAUUCAAGACUACCGUGCUCGAGGGAGACAGAGGUAAGCGGAACUCAAGGUGGAGCGGUGAAAUGCGUUGAUAUCUUGAGGAACACCGGUGGCGAAGGCGGCUUACUGGGUCUCUUCUGACGCUGAGGCACGAAAGCUAAGGUAGCAAACGGGAUUAGAUACCCCGGUAGUCUUAGCUGUAAACGAUGAGCACUUGAUUGGAGGGUCCUCCAUAGCCUUCCAGUCGUAGCGAAAGUGUUAAGUGCUCCGCCUGGGGAGUAUGGUCGCAAGGC
Molecule: ribosomal RNA, 820 nt
Filed under: uncultured Planctomycetota bacterium
Lineage: Bacteria; Pseudomonadati; Planctomycetota
Description: bacterial SSU rRNA
Rfam family: Bacterial small subunit ribosomal RNA
Source: RNAcentral